GAUGAACGCUAGCGAUAGGCUUAACACAUGCAAGUCGAGGGGCAGCAUGGUCUUAGCUUGCUAAGACUGAUGGCGACCGGCGCACGGGUGCGUAACGCGUAUGCAACUUGCCUCACAGAGGGGGAUAACCCGUCGAAAGACGGACUAAUACCGCGUACACUUGGGAUAGGGCAUCCUGACCCAAGGAAAUGAAAUUCGCUGUGAGAUAGGCAUGCGUCCCAUUAGCUAGUUGGUGAGGUAACGGCUCACCAAGGCGACGAUGGGUAGGGGAACUGAGAGGUUGAACCCCCACACUGGUAUUGAGACACGGACCAGACUCCUACGGGAGGCAGCAGUGAGGAAUAUUGGUCAAUGGGCGAGAGCCUGAACCAGCCAAGUCGCGUGAAGGAUGACUGUCUUAUGGAUUGUAAACUUCUUUUAUACGGGAAUAACAAGAGCCACGUGUGGCUCCCUGCAUGUACCGUAUGAAUAAGCAUCGGCUAACUCCGUG
This 490-nucleotide ribosomal RNA is filed under the name uncultured bacterium. RNAcentral describes it as "partial 16S ribosomal RNA". It matches the Rfam family "Bacterial small subunit ribosomal RNA", at positions 28 to 507 of the family's 1533-position model. The record is from RNAcentral.